RNAcentral lists this long non-coding RNA (204 nucleotides) under Capsicum annuum. RNAcentral describes it as "long non-coding RNA (CANN_LNC020218)". The record is from RNAcentral. Lineage: Eukaryota; Viridiplantae; Streptophyta; Magnoliopsida; Solanales; Solanaceae.
GAUCAUUUGCAGGAACCUAUUACUUUCCCCGGAGAAGAAAGUUCUGCCAGUCCUUCCACCUCCAAGACUGUAGCGGCUAUUAAAGCUUACAGCGAGCACAUAGUCGUCAAUAUUGUUAUUAACAAUGACUUCGUGCUAAACAAAGUCGCUCUCUUUGACACCGGCGCUGACAGUAACUGUAUUGUCAAAGGCCUCGUACCCACU